Molecule: ribosomal RNA, 753 nt
Filed under: Bacillus infantis
Lineage: Bacteria; Bacillati; Bacillota; Bacilli; Caryophanales; Bacillaceae
Description: bacterial SSU rRNA
Rfam family: Bacterial small subunit ribosomal RNA
Source: RNAcentral
GGGUGCUAUAAUGCAGUCGAGCGGACGGAUGGGAGCUUGCUCCCUGAAGUCAGCGGCGGACGGGUGAGUAACACGUGGGCAACCUGCCUGUAAGACUGGGAUAACUUCGGGAAACCGGAGCUAAUACCGGAUAAUGCAUAACCUCUCAUGAGGCUAUGCUGAAAGAUGGUUUCGGCUAUCACUUACAGAUGGGCCCGCGGCGCAUUAGCUAGUUGGUGAGGUAACGGCUCACCAAGGCAACGAUGCGUAGCCGACCUGAGAGGGUGAUCGGCCACACUGGGACUGAGACACGGCCCAGACUCCUACGGGAGGCAGCAGUAGGGAAUCUUCCGCAAUGGACGAAAGUCUGACGGAGCAACGCCGCGUGAGUGAUGAAGGUUUUCGGAUCGUAAAACUCUGUUGUCAGGGAAGAACAAGUGCCGGAGUAACUGCCGGCACCUUGACGGUACCUGACCAGAAAGCCACGGCUAACUACGUGCCAGCAGCCGCGGUAAUACGUAGGUGGCAAGCGUUGUCCGGAAUUAUUGGGCGUAAAGCGCGCGCAGGCGGUCUCUUAAGUCUGAUGUGAAAGCCCACGGCUCAACCGUGGAGGGUCAUUGGAAACUGGGGGACUUGAGUGCAGAAGAGGAAAGUGGAAUUCCACGUGUAGCGGUGAAAUGCGUAGAGAUGUGGAGGAACACCAGUGGCGAAGGCGACUUUCUGGUCUGUAACUGACGCUGAGGCGCGAAAGCGUGGGGAGCAAACAGGAUUAGU